RNAcentral lists this transfer RNA (72 nucleotides) under Heterocephalus glaber (naked mole-rat). It matches the Rfam family "tRNA". From Rfam's summary of the family: Transfer RNA (tRNA) molecules are approximately 80 nucleotides in length. Their secondary structure includes four short double-helical elements and three loops (D, anti-codon, and T loops). Further hydrogen bonds mediate the characteristic L-shaped molecular structure. tRNAs have two regions of fundamental functional importance: the anti-codon, which is responsible for specific mRNA codon recognition, and the 3' end, to which the tRNAs corresponding amino acid is attached (by aminoacyl-tRNA synthetases). tRNAs cope with the degeneracy of the genetic code in two manners: having more than one tRNA (with a specific anti-codon) for a particular amino acid; and 'wobble' base-pairing, i.e. permitting non-standard base-pairing at the 3rd anti-codon position. Lineage: Eukaryota; Metazoa; Chordata; Mammalia; Rodentia; Bathyergidae. The record is from Rfam by way of RNAcentral.
GGGACUGUGGCUGAAUGGUACAGCACUUGCUUAGCACAUGCAAGGCCCUGGAUUCAAUUUCCAGCACUCCAA